GAGAUGUUGGGUUAAGUCCCGUAACGAGCGCAACCCUUGUCCUUAGUUACCAGCACGUUAUGUGGGCACUCUAAGGAGACUGCCGGUGACAAACCGGAGGAAGGUGGGGAUGACGUCAAGUCAUCAUGGCCCUUACGGCCUGGGCUACACACGUGCUACAAUGGUCGGUACAAAGGGUUGCCAAGCCGCGAGGUGGAGCUAAUCCCAUAAAACCGAUCGUAGUCCGGAUCGCAGUCUGCAACUCGACUGCGUGAAGUCGGAAUCGCUAGUAAUCGUGAAUCAGAAUGUCACGGUGAAUACGUUCCCGGGCCUU
RNAcentral lists this ribosomal RNA (313 nucleotides) under uncultured Pseudomonas sp. RNAcentral's name for it is "bacterial SSU rRNA". It matches the Rfam family "Bacterial small subunit ribosomal RNA", at positions 1069 to 1382 of the family's 1533-position model. The record is from RNAcentral. Lineage: Bacteria; Pseudomonadati; Pseudomonadota; Gammaproteobacteria; Pseudomonadales; Pseudomonadaceae.